GCGUGCCCAUAUUCCUGGCACCCUUAGAAAAAUUUGACAUUUGUCUGCUUGGGUGAACACUGCCGUUUCUGUUUUCUCUUCAGAAUAUCCUCAUCUUCAAGUAGAAACCUGUGUAAACAGAAGGCCAGCUUUCUUCAUUGCUCUUCAGAAACGGGUCUUAUGCUGCUUGUAGCCGGGUGAAAACAUUUCCUUUGGUCCAAUUGUACCAUUCACAGUCCAAACCUAAGGAGACCAUUAAAGAGCCACAACUAAUGAAAAGGCAGAGAACUGACCGUGGGGGGCCCAGCCAAACUGAAGAAACACACUCCGGUACUCUGGGCUUAAGGAACAUCAUGUAAGAAUGGACAGAAACAUUAUAAGGCCCAGAGGACCAAGAAGUCUGCUGUGAGAAUGUGCCUUCCAGCUCUACCAGGGGAACUAGGCCCAGGAAAUCUCAACAGCAUGGCUGAGUAAACAAGACCCAGACAGUUUCAACAGUUGACAUCCCACUAUAGAUAGGAGAAAUGUCAUGAAGAACUACAAGUGAUUAACAUCUGUGGGGAGAGUGGAAAUUAUUCUUCCCUAGGGAUGAGUCACCUGAUUGGUCAGGCAUAAAAAUAUAUACAUAAAUGC
RNAcentral lists this long non-coding RNA (612 nucleotides) under Rattus norvegicus (Norway rat). Its description in RNAcentral is "long non-coding RNA NONRATT018164". The record is from RNAcentral. Lineage: Eukaryota; Metazoa; Chordata; Mammalia; Rodentia; Muridae.